UGUGACCUCAAAUCAGGUAGGACUACCCGCUGAACUUAAGCAUAUCAAUAAGCGGAGGAAAAGAAACUAACAAGGAUUCCCCUAGUAACUGCGAGUGAAGCGGGAAAAGCUCAAAUUUAAAAUCUGGCGGUCUUUUGGCUGUCCGAGUUGUAAUCUAGAGAAGUGUUAUCCGCGCUGGACCGUGUACAAGUCUCCUGGAAUGGAGCAUCAUAGAGGGUGAGAAUCCCGUCUUUGACAUGGACUGCCAGGGCUUUGUGAUGCGCUCUCAAAGAGUCGAGUUGUUUGGGAAUGCAGCUCAAAAUGGGUGGUAAAUUCCAUCUAAAGCUAAAUAUUGGCGAGAGACCGAUAGCGAACAAGUACCGUGAGGGAAAGAUGAAAAGAACUUUGGAAAGAGAGUUAAACAGUACGUGAAAUUGCUGAAAGGGAAACGCUUGAAGUCAGUUAUGUCGUCCAGGGAUCAACCUUGCUUUUGCUUGGUGCACUUUCUGGUUUGACAGGUCAGCAUCAAUUUUGACUAUUGGAAAAAGGCUUAGGGAAUGUGGCAUCUUUGGAUGUGUUAUAGCCCUUGGUCAUAUACAAUGGUUGGGAUUGAGGAACUCAGCACGCCGCAAGGCCGGG
RNAcentral lists this ribosomal RNA (618 nucleotides) under Cortinarius sp. UBC F17142 OC70. RNAcentral describes it as "eukaryotic LSU rRNA". It matches the Rfam family "Eukaryotic large subunit ribosomal RNA", at positions 1 to 622 of the family's 3401-position model. The record is from RNAcentral. Lineage: Eukaryota; Fungi; Basidiomycota; Agaricomycetes; Agaricales; Cortinariaceae.